RNAcentral lists this ribosomal RNA (465 nucleotides) under Triticum aestivum (bread wheat). RNAcentral describes it as "partial small subunit ribosomal RNA". The record is from RNAcentral. Lineage: Eukaryota; Viridiplantae; Streptophyta; Magnoliopsida; Poales; Poaceae.
AUGAAGGGCGGCGUUUUGUAUCCGAGCUUCAUCGGAGUUGAUGUGGAGCCCAAGCGCCUCAAAGACUUCCUGCAGGAGGAGAAAUUGUACACAUUUGUCGGUUUCAGCAUUGGAGGUGACAAGCGGAUGCUGGACAAGUCUCGUUUGGAGAUCAACCCCAACAACUUCAUCGACAUGCAACGCAAGUGGAAAGAUCCAAAUACCGACAAAUACUACGACUCCUUGGCCGAUGUUGCAGGCGGCGUCAUCCACCCAUUCUACGAUAGCAUGAAGAAGAAGAUGGACAGGGCAGACCACAAACUGUGGGGGACCAGCCCGCUGCGAGACAACCUCAUCACGUACGCAGGAAUUGAUGUGUACGCAACGUACAAGUCAUGGAAGUCAAUCAACAACAUCAUGAUAGGUUGGGAUAUUUCAAAAGAGCAGGAGGCUGACCCCUAUUACCACUACAACUUUGCGGGAUGA